AAUUUUGGACAAUGGGCGCAAGCCUGAUCCAGCCAUGCAGCGUGAGUGAAGAAGGCCAUCGUGUUGUAAAGCUCUUCCGGACGGAACGAAAUCGCGCAGGCUAAUAUUCCGCGCGGAUGACGGUACCGUCAUACGAAGCACCAGAUAAUGACGUGCCUGCAGCCGCGGGAAUACGAAGGGUGGGAGGGUUAAUCGGAAUUACCGGGCGUAAAGCGUGCGCAGGCGGUUGAUUAAGACAGGCGUGAAAUCCCCGGGCUUAACCUGGGAACUGCGCUUGUGACUGGUCAGCUAGAGUACGGCAGAGGGGGGUGGAAUUCCACGUGUAGCAGUGAAAUGCGUAGAGAUGUGGAGGAACACCGAUGGCGAAGGCAGCCCCCUGGGCCGAUACUGACGCUCAUGCACGAAAGCGUGGGUAGCAAACAGG
RNAcentral lists this ribosomal RNA (424 nucleotides) under uncultured bacterium. RNAcentral describes it as "partial 16S ribosomal RNA". It matches the Rfam family "Bacterial small subunit ribosomal RNA", at positions 360 to 776 of the family's 1533-position model. The record is from RNAcentral.